This 460-nucleotide ribosomal RNA is filed under the name uncultured bacterium. RNAcentral describes it as "partial 16S ribosomal RNA". It matches the Rfam family "Bacterial small subunit ribosomal RNA", at positions 338 to 795 of the family's 1533-position model. The record is from RNAcentral.
CCUACGGGAGGCUGCAGUGAGGCAUAUUGGUCAAUGGACGAGAGUCUGAACCCGCCAAGUAGCGUGAAGGAUGACUGCCCUAUGGGUUGUAAACUUCUUUUAUAUGGGAAUAAAAUGUUCCACGUGUGGGAUUUUGUAUGUACCAUAUGAAUAAGGAUCGGCUAACUCCGUGCCAGCAGCCGCGGUAAUACGGAGGAUCCGAGCGUUAUCCGGAUUUAUUGGGUUUAAAGGGAGCGUAGGUGGAUUGUUAAGUCAGUUGUGAAAGUUUGCGGCUCAACCGUAAAAUUGCAGUUGAAACUGGCAGUCUUGAGUACAGUAGAGGUGGGCGGAAGUCGUGGUGUAGCGGUGAAAUGCUUAGAUAGCACGAAGAACUCCGAUUGCGAAGGCAGUUCACUGGACUGCAACUGACACUGAGGCUCGAAAGUGUGGGUAUCAAACAGGAUUAGAUACCCCAGUAGUC